CCUACGGGAGGCAGCAGUGGGGAAUAUUGCACAAUGGGGGAAACCCUGAUGCAGCGACGCCGCGUGAGUGAAGAAGGAAUUCGGUAUGUAAAGCUCUUUCAGCCGGGAAGAAAAUGCCGGUACCUGAGUAAGAAGGCCCGGCUAACUACGUGCCAACAGCCGCGGUAAUACGUAGGGGGCAAGCGUUAUCCGGAUUUACUGGGUGUAAAGGGGGCGUAGACGGCAGUGCAAGUCUGGAGUGAAAGGCGGGGGCUUAACCCCCGGACUGCCGUUGAAACUGGAAGGCUGGAGUGCAGGAGAGGUAAGCGGAAUUCCUAGUGUAGCGGUGAAAUGCGUAGAUAUUAGGAGGAACACCAGUGGCGAAGGCGGCUUACUGGACUGUAACUGACGCUGAGGCGCGAAAGCGUGGGGAGCAAACAGGAUUAGAUACCCGGGUAGUC
Molecule: ribosomal RNA, 440 nt
Filed under: uncultured bacterium
Lineage: Bacteria
Description: partial 16S ribosomal RNA
Rfam family: Bacterial small subunit ribosomal RNA
Source: RNAcentral